Molecule: long non-coding RNA, 343 nt
Filed under: Panax ginseng (ginseng)
Lineage: Eukaryota; Viridiplantae; Streptophyta; Magnoliopsida; Apiales; Araliaceae
Description: long non-coding RNA (PGIN_LNC017539)
Source: RNAcentral
GUAGAGCCUAAUUUCUAGAAUUUGAAAGAGAGUUGUUAUGUGAAUUUUUUAUCAGUACAGAUUACUUCACAACUUUUGCUUCGUUGUUGAAGUGUUAUGUAAAGAGAAUACUUAUAUUCUUUCAGCUUAUAUAUAUAAUUGCUAUUACUUGCUGGGCACUCAAAUGCUCAUCCUUGCUUAAAUUAAAUGUUUUCAGUUAUGUAUGAGCAACCUGAAGGCUCAGGCACAAACAAAGGAAAAGGAAAGCUGAUCGAAUAAGUGUGUAUUAUGAGUUAAUGGUUAUAGUUGUAUUGGUAUCUAUUCAAGUAUUGUAAGGAAUGUAUUUGAAGGUCUCGUACCUGGG